GCUGAGGUUGCACUGCUUGUCUGCACAGAGAUUGUACUGGUUGUAGGAGCUGAGGUUGCACUGCUUGUGUGCACAGGGGUUACACUGGUAGUAGGAGUCGAGGUGGUGCUGCUUGUCUGCACAGAGGUUGAGCUCGUUGUAGGAGCUGAGGUUGUGCUGUUUGUCUGCACAGAGGUUGAGCUCGUUGUAGGAACUGAGGUGGUGCUGCUUGUGUGCACAGGGGUUGCACUGGUAGUAGGAGCCGAGGUGGUGCUGCUUGUCUGCACAGAGAUUAUACUGGUUGUUGGAGCCGAGGUUGCACUGCUUGUCUGCACAGAGAUUAUACUGGUUGUAGGAGCUGAGGUUGCACCGCUUGUGUGCACAGGGGUUGCACUGGUUGUAGGAGUCGAGGUGGUGCUGCUUGUCUGCACAGAGAUUGUACUGGUUGUAGGAGCUGAGGUUGCACUGCUUGUGUGCACAGGGGUUGCACUGGUUGUAGGAGUCGAGGUGGUGCUGCUUGUGUGCACAGGGGUUGCACUGGUUGUAGGAGUCGAGGUGGUGCUGAUUGUGUGCACAGAGGUUGGACGGGUUGUCGGAGCUGAGGUUGUGCUGCUUGUCUGCACAGAGGUUGAGCUCGUUGUAGGAACUGAGGUGGUGCUGCUUGUCUGCACAGGGGUUGCACUGGUUGUAGGAGCCGAGGUGGUGCUGCUUGUGUGCACAGAGGUUGCACUGGAUGUGGCCUCAUGGAAGGUGGUCCCUGUGUGCACAGUGACACUCACACUGGAGGUGCUGGUUACUGUGACAGUCGGGGGAGGGCAGUGUUCUUGGGGCUCGCAGCACAGCACUCUGAUCUGGUAGUUGAGGCACAGCCUGGUCUUGCCCUUCUGGUCCUGGUUCCGACACAGCAGGCCCACGUCCUGGUGGCACUGUACCAGCUGGCCCAGCUCGUGGAUGCUGACCCCGGGGUGGUUCUCGGCUCGGCACUCCACUUUGCUGAUGGAUUCAGGUCGGUGGCAGAUGCUGUCUCCAUUCCUCAUGAUGUUGCCGAAGGUUUCAUUGUCUCCCCCGUGGGGCCCGGGCACUGGGAAGUCCACGUCGAGCCAUUUGGUCCACCUGCACUUUGGCUUGCAGGGGGUGGUCCCUGGAGAGGACUGCUCGUGCGUGCUGGGCGUGCCCCAUCUUGAUGGGGUCACGUGAGGUGAGCUAGCAGUGCU
Bos taurus (domestic cattle) is the source of this 1193-nucleotide long non-coding RNA. NCBI's taxonomy places the organism in Eukaryota, Metazoa, Chordata, Mammalia, Artiodactyla, Bovidae. The record is from Ensembl.